This 253-nucleotide ribosomal RNA is filed under the name uncultured bacterium. Its description in RNAcentral is "partial 16S ribosomal RNA". It matches the Rfam family "Bacterial small subunit ribosomal RNA", at positions 524 to 776 of the family's 1533-position model. The record is from RNAcentral.
UACGUAGGGGGCAAGCGUUGUCCGGAAUCAUUGGGCGUAAAGCGCGUGUAGGCGGCUCGGUAAGUCUGCUGUGAAAGUCCAGGGCUCAACCCUGGAAUGCCGGUGGAAACUGUCGGGCUAGAGUCCGGAAGAGGCGAGUGGAAUUCCUGGUGUAGCGGUGAAAUGCACAGAUAUCAGGAGGAACACCGAUGGCGAAGGCAGCUCGCUGGGACGGUACUGACGCUGAGGCGCGAAAGCGUGGGGAGCAAACAGG